RNAcentral lists this ribosomal RNA (607 nucleotides) under uncultured archaeon. RNAcentral's name for it is "bacterial SSU rRNA". It matches the Rfam family "Archaeal small subunit ribosomal RNA", at positions 25 to 636 of the family's 1478-position model. The record is from RNAcentral.
AACCACGCUACAGAGUGGGACUAAGCCAUGCGAGUUACGUAGCAAUACGUGGCAUACGGCUCAGUAACACGUAGUCAACAUGCCCAGAGGACGUGGAUAACCUCGGGAAACUGAGGAUAAACCGCGAUAAGUCAUGAUUCCUGGAAUGGUUCAUGGCUGAAAUCUAUAUGGCCUUUGGAUUGGACUGCGGCCGAUCAGGCUGUUGGUGAGGUAAUGGCCCACCAAACCUGUUACCGGUACGGGCUCUGAGAGGAGGAGCCCGGAGAUGGGCACUGAGACAAGGGCCCAGGCCCUAUGGGGCGCAGCAGGCGCGAAACCUCUGCAAUAGGCGAAAGCUUGACAGGGUUACUCUGAGUGAUUUCCGUUAAGGAGAUCUUUUGACACCUCUAAAAAUGGUGUAGAAUAAGGGGUGGGCAAGUCUGGUGUCAGCCGCCGCGGUAAUACCAGCACCCCGAGUGGUCGGGACGAUUAUUGGGCCUAAAGCAUCCGUAGCCGGUCCUACAAGUCUUCCGUUAAAUCCACCUGCUCAACAGAUUGGGCUUGCGGAAGAUACUAUAGGGGCUAGGAGGCGGGAAAAGGCAAGCGGUACUCAGUGGGUAGGGGUUAA